RNAcentral lists this RNase P RNA (377 nucleotides) under Candidatus Tectimicrobiota bacterium. RNAcentral's name for it is "partial RNase P RNA component class A". It matches the Rfam family "Bacterial RNase P class A". Rfam says of the family: Ribonuclease P (RNase P) is a ubiquitous endoribonuclease, found in archaea, bacteria and eukarya as well as chloroplasts and mitochondria. Lineage: Bacteria; Pseudomonadati; Candidatus Tectimicrobiota. The record is from RNAcentral.
GUUGGGACCUGAGGAAAGUCCGAGCUCCACAGAGCGGGUUGCUGGGUAACGCCCAGGCGGGGUGACCCGACGGACAGUGCCACAGAGAGCAGACCGCCAAUGGCCGGCACGCUGAGCUCGCGCAGCGGGCACUGAUGUGUCAAGGCACAGGCAAGGGUGAAACGGUGGUGUAAGAGACCACCAGCAGUUCGGGCGACCGAACUGGCUCGGUAAACCCCAACCGGAGCAAGACCAAAUAGGGGAGCGUGUGAGGGUGGCUCGCCCGAGGCUCCCGGGUAGGUCGCUUGAGGCGUGAGGUAACUCACGUCCUAGAGGAAUGAUCAUCACCGAUGCCCGUGGCAUCGGCACAGAACUCGGCUUAUGGUCAACUCUGACGC